GAGAGUUUUCGUGUUCACUAUGGCUGAAUACAUUUGAUUUAUGAAAAGCUAAAACUGACACAGACAAAAUACAUUGUAAACACAGCCUAUUUAGGCAGGCGCUAAAUCGGUGUAAACUAUUAUGCAAAGAUGAACAAUACCGUCAUUAGUAUUUUUGCGCACUGUGCUUAUACGUGAUAGUUUCUCAAUAUUUUGUAUUUGCCAAGAUACUUUUG
Paramuricea clavata is the source of this 215-nucleotide non-coding RNA. NCBI's taxonomy places the organism in Eukaryota, Metazoa, Cnidaria, Anthozoa, Malacalcyonacea, Plexauridae. The record is from the annotation of a GenBank genome assembly.